GACAGAGGGUGCAAACGUUGCUCGGAAUUACUGGGCGUAAAGCGCGUGUAGGCGGACAGGUAAGUCAGAUGUGAAAUCCCUGAGCUCAACUUAGGAACUGCAUUUGAAACUGCCUGCCUUGAGUAUUGGAGAGGGUCGCGGAAUUCCUGGUGUAGAGGUGAAAUUCGUAGAUAUCAGGAGGAACACCGGUGGCGAAGGCGGCGACCUGGACAAUUACUGACGCUGAGACGCGAAAGCGUGGGGAGCAAACAGG
This 253-nucleotide ribosomal RNA is filed under the name uncultured bacterium. RNAcentral's name for it is "partial 16S ribosomal RNA". It matches the Rfam family "Bacterial small subunit ribosomal RNA", at positions 524 to 776 of the family's 1533-position model. The record is from RNAcentral.